RNAcentral lists this ribosomal RNA (382 nucleotides) under uncultured bacterium. Its description in RNAcentral is "bacterial SSU rRNA". It matches the Rfam family "Bacterial small subunit ribosomal RNA", at positions 30 to 416 of the family's 1533-position model. The record is from RNAcentral.
AUUGAACGCUGGCGGCAUGCCUUACACAUGCAAGUCGAACGGCAGCACGGGAGCAAUCCUGGUGGCGAGUGGCGAACGGGUGAGUAAUAUAUCGGAACGUGCCAGUCGUGGGGAUAACGUAGCGAAAGCUACGCUAAUACCGCAUACGAUCUAUGGAUGAAAGCGGGGGAUCGCAAGACCUCGCGCGAUUGGAGCGGCCGAUAUCAGAUUAGGUAGUUGGUGAGGUAAAGGCUCACCAAGCCGACGAUCUGUAGCUGGUCUGAGAGGACGACAGCCACACUGGGACUGAGACACGGCCAGACUCCUACGGGAGGCAGCAGUGGGGAAUUUUGGACAAUGGGCGCAAGCCUGAUCCAGCAAUGCCGCGUGCAGGAUGAAGGCU